Molecule: ribosomal RNA, 326 nt
Filed under: bacterium
Lineage: Bacteria
Also listed under: 1 other name
Description: bacterial SSU rRNA
Rfam family: Bacterial small subunit ribosomal RNA
Source: RNAcentral
CUGGACGAAGUCUGACGGAGCAACGCCGCGUGAGUGAUGAAGGUUUUCGGAUCGUAAAGCUCUGUUGUUAGGGAAGAACAAGUGCCGUUCAAAUAGGGCGGCACCUUGACGGUACCUAACCAGAAAGCCACGGCUAACUACGUGCCAGCAGCCGCGGUAAUACGUAGGUGGCAAGCGUUGUCCGGAAUUAUUGGGCGUAAAGGGCUCGCAGGCGGUUUCUUAAGUCUGAUGUGAAAGCCCCCGGCUCAACCGGGGAGGGUCAUUGGAAACUGGGGAACUUGAGUGCAGAAGAGGAGAGUGGAAUUCCACGUGUAGCGGUGAAACGU